GGUGGACAUCAACAAAAUGGCAGUGUGUUGGGUGAUUCGUCAUAUAUCUUAUCGCGUGCUCAAAAGCAACUCACUGCGUACCGUCCAACUUCAUCCCCUCCUUAUCCACCGAGAAUUCACAGAAUUUCCCUGUGCCACAGUGCGGGAUCGAUUGGAUAUGAAAGGAUCAAAAUAAUUCAGUCCACCGGUUGAGGGAUAUAUUGCAACAUUAUUAAAUUGUCUUUUUUAGA
Long non-coding RNA from Ziziphus jujuba (common jujube), 230 nucleotides. RefSeq lists it as uncharacterized. The transcript is spliced from 2 exons. The record is from RefSeq and is a predicted model, not a curated record. NCBI's taxonomy places the organism in Eukaryota, Viridiplantae, Streptophyta, Magnoliopsida, Rosales, Rhamnaceae.